Molecule: ribosomal RNA, 433 nt
Filed under: uncultured bacterium
Lineage: Bacteria
Description: partial 16S ribosomal RNA
Rfam family: Bacterial small subunit ribosomal RNA
Source: RNAcentral
AACGAACGCUGGCGGCAGGCCUAACACAUGCAAGUCGAGCGAGGACUUCGGUCCUAGCGGCGGACGGGUGAGUAACGCGUGGGAACGUGCCCUUUGCUUCGGAAUAGCCCUGGGAAACUGGGAGUAAUACCGGAUGAGCCCUUUGGGGGAAAGAUUUAUCGGCGAAGGAUCGGCCCGCGUUGGAUUAGGUAGUUGGUGGGGUAAUGGCCUACCAAGCCGACGAUCCAUAGCUGGUUGGAGAGGAUGAUCAGCCACACUGGGACUGAGACACGGCCCAGACUCCUACGGGAGGCAGCAGUGGGGAAUCUUAGACAAGGGGGGAAACCCUGAUCUAGCCAUGCCGCGUGAGCGAUGAAGGCCUUAGGGUUGUAAAGCUCUUUCAGCUGGUAAGAUAAUGACGGUACCAGCAGAAGAAGCCCCGGCUAACUCCGUG